Molecule: ribosomal RNA, 234 nt
Filed under: uncultured Candidatus Saccharibacteria bacterium
Lineage: Bacteria; Candidatus Saccharimonadota
Description: partial 16S ribosomal RNA
Rfam family: Bacterial small subunit ribosomal RNA
Source: RNAcentral
UAAGCGAGCAGUGAAAUCUUGUGGCUCAACCAUAAGGCUAUUGCUUGAACUGCUAAGCUAGAGUGCGAUAGAGGUAACUGGAAUUCCAAGUAUAGGAGUGAAAUCCGUAGAUAUUUGGAGGAACACCGAUGGCGUAGGCAGGUUACUGGAUCGCAACUGACACUGAGGCACGAAAGCGUGGGAGCAAACGGGAUUAGAUACCCCGGUAGUCCACGCCCUAAACUAUGGAUGCUA